Long non-coding RNA from Astyanax mexicanus (Mexican tetra), 798 nucleotides. RefSeq lists it as uncharacterized. The record is from RefSeq and is a predicted model, not a curated record. Lineage: Eukaryota; Metazoa; Chordata; Actinopteri; Characiformes; Acestrorhamphidae. The transcript has 4 exons.
GCCAGUGUUUCAGGAUGCCUCCAUGUUUAUGUUACUUUCUGGCUCUCUGCCUUUAGUUAGGCUGUUUUACUCAGAUCUGUUGAAGUCAAUAGCCACACUCUGAUAAUGGUUUACAUUCUCAUAAAUCCAGUCAAAACUAAUUCCAUCUCUCUGCCUUUUAUUUUUUACUUCUGUUUAUCCUAUACUCAUUGCAAAAUAUGAGUUUCUUUAUACCUUUUUAAUUUAGUGAGGUAGAUUGCUCACACUCUUGCAAAAGCAAUUAUGUUAGAACAUACUUCAUUACUACAUUUAUUGUUACAUUAAAAUGUUUGUUGUUUUAAAGAGUCUAAUAGGGAAGGGAAGGGAAGGGAAAAGAAGGGAAGAGAGCAUUGGUCAGCCUCUGAAAAGAAAUCUGUGCUCAUUGAGGACAUAGUUUCAGCACUUAAGGAGUUACCAGAUACUGUGAAAAAACUGAAGGUGGUUGUGUCAGCAGUGAAGGUUCCUCCUCUCUCACCGGCACCCGCAUGCUCUACAUCAUCCAGUGUGAUCUUCAGCCUGCUACAUCAGCACCAGUUGAAAUAUUACUGACUGCCUGUCUGACCCGAAACUGAUGGAUGGUGGACCUUCAGGAUCUCAUGGCCCUCUUUGGCCAGACUAAUGGAAGUUUCUGGAAGUCAGCCUUACCAUCACCCACCAUAGUUCCGAAGCCCAUCAUCCAGUUUAUUCAGCUGCCUUGGACUAGAUGAUAAGGCUGCAGAUCCAGGGCUUUAAGCAGAUGGGGAUUUUUUUGGUAAACUGAAUGCUGGUGCUGUUGUUUAU